Capra hircus (goat) is the source of this 5152-nucleotide long non-coding RNA. NCBI's taxonomy places the organism in Eukaryota, Metazoa, Chordata, Mammalia, Artiodactyla, Bovidae. The record is from Ensembl.
AUGUGUAUGGAGUGUGUGUGUUUGCUUGCACACGGAAGCAUUCAUGAUGGAUCCAGGGACCCGAUCCCUCUGUGGCUAUAUUCCUUAGAGCCCUGCCCUGGCUGCAGAGCUACCUGUGGUGUUUCAGUUGUGUGGGACUCUCCCUUCCCUCCACACCGUCUAGGGUAUCUGUGUUGUGACCGUUCCACGGGCCGGAACGUCCUCUCCUCUCGGUGUGUUCUUUCUUUUGUAGGAAACUCGGCAAGAGAGGCCUGGAGAAAGUGGACAGUCAUUCUCUCCUUCUCAAACAAGGUACCUUGUGCAAACCUUCACGAGGGAUCUCUUCCAGGGGAUUACCAACAGGAAAGAACUGGCUCGUCAUAUGGGAACCCCAGAAACUCGAAUCCAGAUAUGGUUUUAAAACUGAAGAGCUCGGAACCCACAGCAGAGACAAAGCGGGCCCGGCAAUGGCUGGGCCCAAGGACCAAGCAGCACAGCAGCCAUGACUACUCCUGCUCCAGAGGACCGAAGGGCCGCACCCGCUGUUCAGAGCUCCUCUUCCCACUAUUAACCCUUCCCGCCAGAGGAGAGCAUUCCACAAUUGGAAGAGGCAAAAUUGAGACCCAGGGAUCCAGUGGUGAGCGAGAAGAAGUGAAAUGGGGUAAGGCCCCUGGCAGAGAUGGGAACUGCGCCCUGGUCUUCGGCACCAGGCUUCCUCAGCAUGAAGACUUCUGUCAAGCACCCAAACUGUCCAGGGAAAAAGAAAGGUCCCAGGGAAUCGCAAAGAAACCAAGGAACCACAGCGCCACCUGCACAGCCAUCCGUAGCAAUGGAUUCUUUGGCCAGCCAGGUUUCUAACCCCAACCACGGGGUUUCACGGGAGAAAAGUCAGGGGUCUGUAUGUACUUCAAAACGGCCGGGUCGACAAAUUCCGGAUCGGGUUUGCAAGUCGAUGAUGUCUGUAUUCUUAGCUCUUGGUGGAUGCCUAGAUGUCUCAUGGUUGGUUGAGGGCCCCGGUGUCCCAGCGCCACCCACCAGCAGCACCGUGGUCAUUCUGUGGCGACCCAAGGGUCGGUGAGUGAGUGGGUGCCCCCGCUAGGCUGCACCCAUGCGCCCUCCUUCUCUUUCUGUUAAGACACAUGGUUCCUCUGAGCUCGACCAGGCUGGCUUGAGAUGCUGAGAGGCGACGGGAGGGAGGAAGGGCCGGACUGCCGGCUGAGGGCUUCAGCGGGGAGGGGGUGCUGGCAACAAAGAGCCCUCCUCUCCCUGCCCCCGCUGGAUGUGCGCGAGAAGCUGGGGGGCUGAAGAGGCCAGCAGCGAUGUGGAGCCUGUGCGCAUGGAGCUGGGAGGCGGCAGGCGGCGGGAGGGGGCCGGGGAGGUCGGCAUCCUCUGCAGCGGUGCCGGCGAGCCCGCCCGGGGCUCCUUCUUCCUGGGGCCCGGGCGCGCCAGGACCCCUUGGUCUGGCAGAAUGGCGCAGGGCUGCUGAGAUCUGGUGAGACAGGGUUCCCCUCCUGAGCGCCAGGGCGCGACAGUAGCAAGCGGAAGGGCAAGGGUGUGAGCAGCCAGGCCGCGUCGCGGGAGGGCCGCUGUGGCGGGGAGGUGUUCCAUACUGACGGGCACCCUGGCGAGACCGGGAAGACCCAGGCUCCGCGGUGGGCCAGACCCUUGGCCAGGGCGUGGCAGGAAGAAACCUUCAGCGGGAGGUGUGGGCACACCCUGGCUACAUCCCAGUGGGAAGUCAAAUGAGCAUGGGAGCCCGGGACAAGAGGCCAGAGUCCUUGCUGGGGAAAGAGCAAAGGGAAGGGAGUCAAGCCAUGAGGUCUGUGCCAGAACGGGCCUUUCCAGCCUGGACCCGGGCCACUGCGGCGGAUGUGUGGGGGUGGUGGGAGACGAGCGGGAGCCAUGGGAGAGCCCCAGCCUGCUGCUGCAGGAGAGCCCAGAGGAGACUCCCCGCAAGAGGCGCAGGAGGUCUGCCAGGGCCCGGGCGGCGGCCUGGGCUCUGCCUCCAGUCGGCGCCGCGGAGGAGUGCAGGGGGCCCCAUGGGUCUCCCAGGUGCCUGCGCCCCAGCUCUGGGGAGACCCUGCCAAAGAGACAGAGAAGGUGUGCCAGAGGCCCAGCGGCAGCAGCGAGUGAGGCGGCAGCGGUGGCGGGCUGGGCCCCUCCUCCCACUGGCCCUUCGGAGAGGGGCGGGGAGCCCAGGAGCUGGGGGCGUCGGGGGGCUCGCUAAGUUCAGGUCCCCAGUCCAGGGAACCUUCUCCUGAAGAGACCCUCUGCCCUCUGCAUCCCGCCCUCCCCUUGCUGGGCUGGGUGGCGGCCAGGAGCUGGCAGCCUCGGGGGCUCCGCAUGGUCAGGGCCCCAGCUCAAAGGAGAUUCCGCUGACGAGAUGGGGGAGGUCUGCCAAGGAUCCAGGGAGCUGCCAUCUGUGACCCACCAGGGUCUCGGCUGGAUGCACGGUGGCCAGGAGCUGGGACCCACGUGGGGCUCACUAGGUUCAGGGCCCCAGUCCAGGGAACAUUCUGCCUAAGAGACGGAGGACGUCUCCCAGGGCCACGGGGCACCCGGCGGGCUGCCCUCUGUGUCCUGCCGUCCCCUCACAGGGCUGCAGGGUGGCCAGGAGCUGGAGGCCUCGGGGGGCUCCACAGGGUCAGGUCCCCAUCCCAAAGGAGAUUCCGCUGACAAGACAGGGGUGGUCUACCAGGGAUCCAGGGAGCUGGGGUCUGCCACCUGCAGGGGUCUCGGCGGGAUGCAGGGUGGCCAGGAAUUGUGGGCGUUGGGGGGCUCCGCGGGAUCUGGGUCCCAGCCCUGGGAGACUCCUUGGAAGAGACCGGAGAGGUCUGCCAGGGCCCCAGCGGGCUGGCCUCUGCGUCCCGCUGGUGCCUCUAGCUGCUGCACGGGUCCCCACCCCAGCUCAGGGGAGACCCAGAGGAAGAGGAAGACACUGAGGAGGUCUGCCGGGGAGUGGGAAUACUAGACCACCUGACCUGCCUCUUGAGAAACAAUAUGCAGGUCAGGAAGCAACAGUUAGAACUGGAUAUGGAACAACACACUGGUUCCAAAUAGGAAAAGGAGUAUGUCAAGGUUGUAUGUUGUUAUCCUGCUUAUUUAACUUAUAUGCAGUGUACAUCAUGAGAAACGCUGGGCUAGAGGAAGCACAAGCUGGAAUCAAGAUUGCUGGGGAAAAUAUCAAUAACCUCAGAUAUGCAAAUGACACCACCCUUAUGGUAGAAAGUGAAGAGGAACUAAAAAUCCUCUUGAUGAAAGUGAAAGAGGAGCGAAAAAGUUGGCCUAAAGCUCAACAUUCAAAACACUAAGAUCAUGGCAUCUGGUCCAAUCACUUCAUGGGAAAUAGAUUGGGAAACAGUGGGAACAGUGUCUGACUAUUUUGGGAGGCUCCAAAAUCACUGUAGAUGGUGAUUGCAGCCAUGAAAUUUAAAGACGCUUACUCCUUGGAAAGAAAGGUAUGACCAACCUAGGUAGCAUAUUAAAUAGUAUAUUAGAUAGCAAAGUAAUAUCUAACAAAGGUCCAUCUCAUCAAGGCUAUGGUUUUUCCAGUAAUCAUGUAUGGAUGUGAGAGUUGGACUGUGAAGAAAGCUGGGUGCUGAAGAAUUGAUGCUUUUGAUCUGUGGUGUUGAAGAACACUCUUGAGAAUCUCUUGUACUACAAGGAGAUCCAACCAAUCCAUCCUAAAGAUUAGUCCUGAGUGUUCAUUUGAGGGACUGAUAUUGCAGCUUAAACUCCAAUCCUUUGGCCACCUAACACAAAGAGUUGACUCAUUUGAAAAGACCCUGAUGCUGGGAAAGAUUGAGGGAAGGAGGAGAGGGGGAUGACAGAUGAGAUGGUUGGAUGGCAUGACUGAUUCAAUGGACAUGAGUUUGGGUAAACCCUCAGAGUUGGUGAUGGACAGGGAGGCCUCGCGUGCUGAGGUUCAUGGGAUCACAGAGAGUUGGACACGACUCAGCAACUGAGCUGAACUGAACUGAAUAUUUUGGCAUAUGGUAGUCAUCAUCUCAUGGGCUAAAAUAAAUAAAGUAAAUAUGCUAAACCUAAAUAAUCACCAGGAAGAUCUGAAACCCUGACAUUAAUGGCGUCUCUCUGUAUGAAGUCAUAGUAAAUACAUUGUUCACAGUCAAAUCAAAAUAUUUAUGUAAUAAUAUACUCAAUGUUAAUAUAAAUGAUUCUAAUUUUUAAACUAUAACACUAAAUGUCUGUAUUUAACAUUAUUCCUAGCUAAAUUCUUCCAAGAACCUUUAAAUACUUCUUUCUUCCCUUUUUAAUAUAUAAAUUUAUUUUAAUUGGAGACUAAUUGCUUUACAAUAUUGUAGUGGUUUUGCCGGAGAAGGCAAUGGCUCCCCGCUGCAGUACUCUUGCCUGGAAAAUCCCAUGGGUGAAGGAGCCUGGUAGGCUGCAGUCCAUGGGGUCUCGAAGAGUCGGACACGACUGAGCAACUUCACUUUCACUUUUCACUUUCAUGCAUUGGAGAAGGAAGUGGCAACCCACUCCAGUGUUCGUGCCUGGAGAAUCCCAGGGACGGGGGAUCCUGGUCGCUGCCGUCUAUGGGGUCACACAGACUCGGACACGACUGAAGCGAUGCAGCAGCAGGAGCAGCAGCAGCAGCAGUGGUUUUUGCCAUACAUUGACAUGGAUCAAAUAUUUCUCUUUUUAAGCCAAUCAACAACUAAGAUCAAAGUGGUAGAAACAGUUACUGUUCCUUUUAUUAUUCUAAGGAUUUGCAACCUUCUCAAGAAGUUUAGUUACCAGAAUUACACAAAAGGGCAGAGUUGAACUGGGCAAAAAUUCAUGUUGCUAUUCCUAUUAAGGUUCGAUGUUCACAAUAUCACUUUUUAAAGUGCACUAAAUAUGUAUGGAAUUUCACUGUCAUAAAGUUUCAAUACAAUGUACUUGAUUGCCUAUAAUAAAAUGUCUUUGACAGGUUGAAAAUAUUUUGAAGUACUUGACUUUGUUCAAAGUAAUAUUAAUUUGUCUUAUGAAUAGCAAUCAGUUCAGUUUAAUCACUCAGUCAUGACUCUUUAUGACCCUAUGGACUGUAGCAUGCUAGGCUUCCCUGUCCACCACCAACUCCAGGAGUUUACUCAAACUCAUGUCCGUUGAGUCGGUGAUGUCAUCCAACCAUUUCAUCCUCUGUCAUCCCCUUCUCUUCCUGCCUUCAAUCUUU